CAGUAGCCGCGGGAAUACAGAGGAUGCAAGCGUUAUCCGGAAUGAUUGGGCGUAAAGCGCGCGCAGGCGGUUUCUUAAGUCUGAUGUGAAAGCCCCCGGCUUAACCGGGGAGGGUCAUUGGAAACUGGGAGACUUAGAGUGCAGAAGAGGAGAGUGGAAUUCCAUGUGUAGCGGUGAAGUGCGUAGAUAUACGGAGGAACACCAGUGGCGAAGGCGGCUCUCUGGUCUGUAACUGACGCUGAGGCGCGAAAGCGUGGUGAGCAAACAGGAUUAGAUACCCGAGUAGUCCCUGUCUCUUAUU
This 301-nucleotide ribosomal RNA is filed under the name uncultured bacterium. RNAcentral describes it as "partial 16S ribosomal RNA". It matches the Rfam family "Bacterial small subunit ribosomal RNA", at positions 509 to 808 of the family's 1533-position model. The record is from RNAcentral.